AAGAGUACGUGAAACCGUUCAGGGGUAAACCUGUGAAACCCAAAAGAUCGAAUGAGGAGAUUCAUCGUCAGCGUGUUCAGUAUUAAUGCAGGUUAUGAUGUGAUAAUAGAAUCCUCGAGGUCACUAGAUUAUACUUGUUUGUAUUAUUUUUGCUGGGUAUGUCGGCGUGCACUUCUCCUCUAGUAGAACGUCGCAACCCGUUUGAUGUUUAUCUAUGGCCUGAAUGGUAGUCUUUGAUAUUUUAUUGUAUUGAAAACCUUUGGUGUCCUGAUAAACUGUCUGACGGUAUACACAAAUGGUAUUGAGCCGCAAUUAUUUGCGUUAGACUUGCCGCAAGUAUGGCUUUAUUCUGGCAGUGCGGAUCUAAUGCCGUCGCUGGUCAAAGUCUGCUGUUAGCUGUGUAAUGUCUUUAACUGGCUUAUUUACUGGUUAGCGAUGCUACUGCUUUGGGUAC
This 454-nucleotide ribosomal RNA is filed under the name Choeras sp. 2 SY-2018. RNAcentral describes it as "partial 28S ribosomal RNA". Lineage: Eukaryota; Metazoa; Arthropoda; Insecta; Hymenoptera; Braconidae. The record is from RNAcentral. RNAcentral also lists the same sequence under 1 other name.